RNAcentral lists this ribosomal RNA (496 nucleotides) under uncultured bacterium. Its description in RNAcentral is "partial 16S ribosomal RNA". It matches the Rfam family "Bacterial small subunit ribosomal RNA", at positions 28 to 506 of the family's 1533-position model. The record is from RNAcentral.
GAUGAACGCUGGCGGCGUGCCUAAUACAUGCAAGUCGAGCGAACAGACGAGGAGCUUGCUCCUCUGACGUUAGCGGCGGACGGGUGAGUAACACGUGGAUAACCUACCUAUAAGACUGGGAUAACUUCGGGAAACCGGAGCUAAUACCGGAUAAUAUAUUGAACCGCAUGGUUCAAUAGUGAAAGACGGUUUUGCUGUCACUUAUAGAUGGAUCCGCGCCGCAUUAGCUAGUUGGUAAGGUAACGGCUUACCAAGGCAACGAUGCGUAGCCGACCUGAGAGGGUGAUCGGCCACACUGGAACUGAGACACGGUCCAGACUCCUACGGGAGGCAGCAGAAGGGAAUCUUCCACAAUGGGCGAAAGCCUGACGGAGAAACGCCGCGUGAGUGAUGAAGGACUUCGGAUCGUAAAACUCUGUUAUUAGGGAAGAACAAAUGUGUAAGUAACGAUGCACGUCUUGACGGUACCUAAUCAGAAAGCCACGGCUAACUACGU